Molecule: ribosomal RNA, 257 nt
Filed under: uncultured Glomus
Lineage: Eukaryota; Fungi; Glomeromycota; Glomeromycetes; Glomerales; Glomeraceae
Description: partial 18S ribosomal RNA
Rfam family: Eukaryotic small subunit ribosomal RNA
Source: RNAcentral
AAGCUCGUAGUUGAAUUUCGAGACCGGUCUACUGGUCGUGCUGUUGUACGUACUGGUAUAAUCGGUUUCUCUCUUCUGACGAACUAUAAUGCCAUUAAUUUGGUGUUUUAGGGAAUCAGGACUGUUACUUUGAAAAAAUUAGAGUGUUUAAAGCAGGCUCACGCUUGAAUACAUUAGCAUGGAAUAACGAAAUAGGACGUUUGAUUUUAUUUUGUUGGUUUCUAGGAUCGACGUAAUGAUUAAUAGGGAUAGUUGGG